This 253-nucleotide ribosomal RNA is filed under the name uncultured bacterium. RNAcentral's name for it is "partial 16S ribosomal RNA". It matches the Rfam family "Bacterial small subunit ribosomal RNA", at positions 524 to 776 of the family's 1533-position model. The record is from RNAcentral.
UACGAAGGGGGCUAGCGUUGUUCGGAAUUACUGGGCGUAAAGCGCACGUGGGCGGCUUUGUAAGUUAGAGGUGAAAGCCCGGGGCUCAACCCCGGAAUUGCCUUUAAGACUGCAUCGCUUGAACGUCGGAGAGGUGAGUGGAAUUCCGAGUGUAGAGGUGAAAUUCGUAGAUAUUCGGAAGAACACCAGUGGCGAAGGCGGCUCACUGGACGACUGUUGACGCUGAGGUGCGAAAGCGUGGGGAGCAAACAGG